This 64-nucleotide transfer RNA is filed under the name Curculionoidea sp. 9 KM-2017. RNAcentral's name for it is "tRNA-Phe". Lineage: Eukaryota; Metazoa; Arthropoda; Insecta; Coleoptera. The record is from RNAcentral.
GAUUAAAUAGCUUAUUGAGCGUGACAUUGAAAAUGUUAAGGUAGUAUUUAUAUAUUUUUAAUCA